Non-coding RNA from Rattus norvegicus (Norway rat), 825 nucleotides. NCBI's taxonomy places the organism in Eukaryota, Metazoa, Chordata, Mammalia, Rodentia, Muridae. The record is from RefSeq and is a predicted model, not a curated record.
AGUCGGCCCUCAGCUGUCAGUGAGCACUGGCUGGCUGUGCGCCGGACCAGUCUGACAAGACUGGAUCGGAUUACCUGCUGUUCUUACACUGAGAUUGAGUUGGGUUGGGAGGGAGGGUGAUUACUGUAUUAUAUGUAGGUCACACACUAAAUCUCUUGGCACACUGCCUACUCAACCUCGAAGUCUAAAGAUUCGAAAGCAGUCGAAUUUCAAAAGCAUUGGACUGUAUAGGGCCUAGAUUCAAGGAACCUAUCGUCAUAAAUAUCUGCCCAAAUCUUGGUUGCUGCGCAGUAAGGCAGGUCACUAUGACGAUGUGUUCCUUGUCAGCUUGGCUGAGCCAGCCUGGAGAAGAAAGGAGACCCAUCCAGCAACCCCAGACAGCAGCUUAGUAAGAGCCUAUCCAGCCCAGAGUGCACGUGAAACUGUUGGGAAGGCCCUACUGAAGAAAACACCGACAUUUCGCAUUGAACUCGGUAAAGUUGUACUGGUGCCUAGCUAAAGCUUUUACCCCUACUGACUAGCGUUCAUGGUACUAGAAGGUACUUUGCAUACUAUCAAAGGAGAAAGGUAAAAAACCAACCCAGCCACAAACUCUUCCAGCUACGAUGGAGACUACCUGCAUGAUACGCAGGUACAAUAGCGGCACAAACGUUGUGAGAGUAACCAACCACUGUCUAAUUGGAUUAAAGCCCCAUGAGAUGAACUCAUGCCUGGCACUGCUCAUGGAACCAAGAACAUGUGACUAGAGAGGGCAUGAACCAAGGGCAAAACACAUACUAUUGUUCUGCUAAAGGAAUAUAACAAUGAAAUGACUAUAUUGUGCUA